Non-coding RNA from Labeo rohita (rohu), 482 nucleotides. NCBI's taxonomy places the organism in Eukaryota, Metazoa, Chordata, Actinopteri, Cypriniformes, Cyprinidae. The record is from the annotation of a RefSeq genome assembly.
AUCAUAAAGCAAACAUGACUUUAAUAGCUAUCAUUAUUUGGAUGCUUGCAACCUGCACUUUGAGUUCUGUGGGGCAGAUUCUGACUCAGUCUGAAGAUCAAACAGUGAAGCCUGAUCAGACUGUCACUAUUCACUGUAAGCACACACCAGCUAUAAACUGUGUUAAAUCAAAGAGCUCUCAGAAUUGCAUCGCCUGGUACCAUCAGAUUCCUGGAGAAGUUCCUAAACUCCUGAUCUAUUACACAACAGACAGAGCUUCAGGUGUUUCUUCUAGAUUCAGUGGAAGUGGAAGUGGAAACAAAAUUGAUUUUACUCUGACUAUCAGCGGGGUCCAGCCUGAAGAUUCAGGAGUUUAUUACUGUCAGAGUGAACAUGACAAGGGAGUUUCUGGCACCAUAGACUGGGUGUUCACACAGUGUAAAAGCAUCGUACAAAAACCUCCUCUGGUGAGACAGCAGCGCUGCAGCUUUGAGCUUCUGUAG